Molecule: long non-coding RNA, 557 nt
Organism: Pantherophis guttatus
Lineage: Eukaryota; Metazoa; Chordata; Lepidosauria; Squamata; Colubridae
Source: RefSeq, a predicted model, not a curated record
UUCCCCAUUGGUUCGCUCGCUCUUCCUUGACGGUACUGAUUGGCCAGAAAUCGCAUUCCUCCCACCCUGCUUGGGUCAGCCGAGAGGUUCCCCCGGGCUCGAUUUCUUUGCUGCGCUUGGUGUGUCUGAUCCGCAGGGAGGGGCGGGGGGGGGAAAGUUUCCCGUUUCGAAAGAGGUGGAAGAAAGUACUUAGGGACAGCGAUUUCCUUGCUAGCACUUUCCCAGUUUCUGUUUCGUUUUACUGUCUCUGCCUUAACCUUACUGCUACACAUUAAGGUUCCUUUCACCUUUGUCAACGAGUGAGCCUUGUGUUGUCGUGUAUAUAACAGACUACCUUGAUUUAGGAGGCGCAAACCUGAGGGACUGAGAAUUAAUGCCGCCCCGGAGUCACCUUGUAGAGGAAGAUGGACGGCAUCGAAAUAUUGCAUCUAUUCUGGAUGAAUACCAAGAUUUAGAUAAAUGUUCCAUCUUUCUUCCAAGAAAAUAAUUUCAACCUUAGAAACACUGUUAAUGUUGACGUGGAAUGAUAACACCAAAUAAAUCCAUAGUUGAUUCUA